This 335-nucleotide unclassified non-coding RNA is filed under the name soil metagenome. RNAcentral describes it as "partial contains 5.8S ribosomal RNA, internal transcribed spacer 2, and large subunit ribosomal RNA". The stretch from base 1 to 120 matches the Rfam family "5.8S ribosomal RNA", at positions 35 to 154 of the family's 154-position model. The record is from RNAcentral.
GAUGAAGAACGCAGCGAAAUGCGAUAAGUAGUGUGAAUUGCAGAAUUCAGUGAAUCAUCGAAUCUUUGAACGCACAUUGCGCCCCAUGGUAUUCCGUGGGGCAUGCCUGUUCGAGCGUCAUUUACCCCCUCAAGCUCCGCUUGGUGUUGGGCGUCUGUCCCGCUUCGCGCGCGGACUCGCCCCAAAGGUAUUGGCAGCGGUCGUGCCAGCUUCUCGCGCAGCACAUUGCGCUUCUCGAGGCACCGGUGGGCCCGCGUCCAUCAAGCUCACCCCCCCAGUUUGACCUCGGAUCAGGUAGGGAUACCCGCUGAACUUAAGCAUAUCAAUGCGGAGGA